This 301-nucleotide ribosomal RNA is filed under the name uncultured Slackia sp. RNAcentral's name for it is "bacterial SSU rRNA". The stretch from base 53 to 301 matches the Rfam family "Bacterial small subunit ribosomal RNA", at positions 547 to 795 of the family's 1533-position model. Lineage: Bacteria; Bacillati; Actinomycetota; Coriobacteriia; Eggerthellales; Eggerthellaceae. The record is from RNAcentral.
CACGAUGCUCGGGCGGGCGGCGGGGGGAGUGCGGAGGGUGCGAGCGUUUUGCGGAAUGAUUGGGCGGGAAGGGGUCGUAUGCGGUUCGGUACGGCGUGAGUGAAAACUCGGGGCUUAACCCCGAGCCUGCUUUCGAUACGGGCGGACUAUAGGUAGGUAGGGGAGAACGGAAUUCCUGGUGUAGCGGUGGAAUGCGCAGAUAUCAGGAGGAACACCGGUGGCGAAGGCGGUUCUCUGGGCCUUACCUGACGCUGAGGAGCGAAAGCAUGGGGAGCGAACAGGAUUAGAUACCCCAGUCGUC